This 74-nucleotide transfer RNA is filed under the name Candidatus Komeilibacteria bacterium CG_4_10_14_0_2_um_filter_37_10. RNAcentral's name for it is "tRNA-Gln". It matches the Rfam family "tRNA". From Rfam's summary of the family: Transfer RNA (tRNA) molecules are approximately 80 nucleotides in length. Their secondary structure includes four short double-helical elements and three loops (D, anti-codon, and T loops). RNAcentral also lists the same sequence under 1 other name. Lineage: Bacteria; Candidatus Komeiliibacteriota. The record is from RNAcentral.
UCGGGAGUCGUCUAAUGGUAGGACUACAGAUUCUGGAUCUGUCAAUUGGGGUUCGAAUCCCUGCUCCCGAACCA